RNAcentral lists this ribosomal RNA (667 nucleotides) under Bacillus sp. CR30. RNAcentral describes it as "bacterial SSU rRNA". It matches the Rfam family "Bacterial small subunit ribosomal RNA", at positions 378 to 1036 of the family's 1533-position model. Lineage: Bacteria; Bacillati; Bacillota; Bacilli; Caryophanales; Bacillaceae. The record is from RNAcentral.
GAAGUCUGACGGAGCAACGCCGCGUGAGUGAUGAAGGUUUUCGGAUCGUAAAGCUCUGUUGUUAGGGAAGAACAAGUGCAAGAGUAACUGCUUGCACCUUGACGGUACCUAACCAGAAAGCCACGGCUAACUACGUGCCAGCAGCCGCGGUAAUACGUAGGUGGCAAGCGUUGUCCGGAAUUAUUGGGCGUAAAGGGCUCGCAGGCGGUUUCUUAAGUCUGAUGUGAAAGCCCCCGGCUCAACCGGGGAGGGUCAUUGGAAACUGGGAAACUUGAGUGCAGAAGAGGAGAGUGGAAUUCCACGUGUAGCGGUGAAAUGCGUAGAGAUGUGGAGGAACACCAGUGGCGAAGGCGACUCUCUGGUCUGUAACUGACGCUGAGGAGCGAAAGCGUGGGGAGCGAACAGGAUUAGAUACCCUGGUAGUCCACGCCGUAAACGAUGAGUGCUAAGUGUUAGGGGGUUUCCGCCCCUUAGUGCUGCAGCUAACGCAUUAAGCACUCCGCCUGGGGAGUACGGUCGCAAGACUGAAACUCAAAGGAAUUGACGGGGGCCCGCACAAGCGGUGGAGCAUGUGGUUUAAUUCGAAGCAACGCGAAGAACCUUACCAGGUCUUGACAUCCUCUGACAACCCUAGAGAUAGGGCUUUCCCUUCGGGGACAGAGUGACA